This is a long non-coding RNA of Suricata suricatta (meerkat), 502 nucleotides long. RefSeq lists it as uncharacterized. Lineage: Eukaryota; Metazoa; Chordata; Mammalia; Carnivora; Herpestidae. The transcript is spliced from 3 exons. The record is from RefSeq and is a predicted model, not a curated record.
GGAAUGAGGCUGCAGGGAAGGGGGCGCUUUGCCAUCAGCAGUACUACCGGCCAGGCCCUUGCCCGAGUGCCGCUUGAUCACCACUAAGAUCCAUUAUCGUGUCUGUGGUCUUGAAGCUUGACUUCCAAGGACCUUAGUUCGUUCAUCUAUUAAAUGAGAGGGCGUAUCGGCCAUUCAGUGAACUCCAGUUGAGAGGCAGGAGCAGCACAGAUUAUACCUCUUUAUCAUCCGCACUGCUGCUGGCCCUCUCAUUCCACAGUCUCCUCAAGCUGUGGUUCACAAAAAUGACAAAUUUGAUGUUGAUACUAUUGGAAAAUGGCUCAGAUAUUUUGUUAAUCUACAUCACAAUGUACAUAAAAACUAUAAAUAUCUUAAAAUAUAUUCGAUAUUUUCUUUAACAUUAUGCAGAACCAUGUAACCUUGUACUAAACUGAAGAUCUUUAAUACAGUUUUUGUACAAAAGGAUGUUAAACACAUGGAUUAAAAUUAUGGCAAAACAGGA